This 492-nucleotide ribosomal RNA is filed under the name uncultured bacterium. RNAcentral's name for it is "partial 16S ribosomal RNA". It matches the Rfam family "Bacterial small subunit ribosomal RNA", at positions 29 to 507 of the family's 1533-position model. The record is from RNAcentral.
AGUGAACGCUGGCGGUAGGCCUAACACAUGCAAGUCGAACGGCAGCACAGUAAGAGCUUGCUCUUACGGGUGGCGAGUGGCGGACGGGUGAGGAAUACAUCGGAUUCUACUUUUUCGUGGGGGAUAACGUCGGGAAACUUACGCUAAUACCGCAUACAACCUCCGGGUGAACGCAGGGGAUCUUCGGACCUUGCGCGAUUGAAUGAGCCGAUGUCGGAUUAGCUCGUUGGCGGGGUAAAGGCACAACAAGGCGACGCUCCGUAGCUGGUCUGAGAGGAUGAACAGCCACACUGGAACUGAGACACGGUCCAGACUCCUACGGGAGGCAGCAGUGGGGAAUAUUGGACGAUGGGCGCAAGCCUGAUCCAGCCAUACCGCGUGGGUGAAGAAGGCCUUCGGGUUGUAAAGCCCUUUUGUUGGGAAAGAAAAGCAGCAGGUUAAUACCCCGCGGUUCUGACGGUACCCAAAGAAUAAGCACCGGCUAACUUCGUG